CAUCGGAUCCACUCAGAAGCCACCCAGAUCGAGCGCCCGCCUCUUUCCCUUCCUCAUUCAUUCCCAUCGCCAGCCGCUGGUAAUGUUUGACCGCCUCCUUCCUGGUUGUUAGUUGCGAGGCUGCCUACCCAGGCGGCGAGUUGUUGUGGACGUUGGAGAUCGUGCGCCCAAAACGAAGGCGGGCCGGGGAGUGCUGUGGCGGGAUCCCGUCUCGGGGCAGCUGGAGCCUGUUCCCUCGGCUCUUUUUUUCUUUCUUCUUUUUCGCUUGCAACGACAAACAGAAACUGCAAGAAUACACUUGAAGGGUUGGAAAGUUAUUCUUGAAGUUGACAGAACAGUUAUAAACAUGGGAGCCAGUUUGGUGUAAUGAUGAAGGUGCUGACCUAGAAACCAAGAACUCUGUGUUUGAACUUUUCAUGGAAUCCAGCCCAGGCUGUAACAGGACAUUGAAAAAACAGGGCUAAAGAGGAAAUUCUGAAACCAGAA
Long non-coding RNA from Ahaetulla prasina, 486 nucleotides. RefSeq lists it as uncharacterized. The record is from RefSeq and is a predicted model, not a curated record. NCBI's taxonomy places the organism in Eukaryota, Metazoa, Chordata, Lepidosauria, Squamata, Colubridae. The transcript is spliced from 3 exons.